AAGCGGUGGAGCAUGUGGUUUAAUUCGACGCAACGCGAAGAACCUUUACCUGGGUUUGACAUCCCGAUCGCACUUUAUGGAAACAUAGAGGUCAGUUCGGCUGGAUCGGUGACAGGUGCUGCAUGGCUGUCGUCAGCUCGUGUCGUGAGAUGUUGGGUUAAGUCCCGCAACGAGCGCAACCCUUGUCCUUAGUUGCCAUCAUUUGGUUGGGCACUCUAGGGAGACUGCCGGUGUUAAACCGGAGGAAGGUGGGGAUGACGUCAAGUCCUCAUGGCCCUUAUAUCCAGGGCUACACACGUGCUACAAUGGCCGGUACAAAGGGCAGCAAUACCGCAAGGUGGAGCAAAUCCCAUAAAGCCGGUCUCAGUUCGGAUUGGAGUCUGCAACUCGACUCCAUGAAGUUGGAAUCGCUAGUAAUCGCGUAUCAGCAUGACGCGGUGAAUACGUUCCCGGGCCUU
RNAcentral lists this ribosomal RNA (458 nucleotides) under uncultured Desulfuromusa sp. RNAcentral's name for it is "bacterial SSU rRNA". It matches the Rfam family "Bacterial small subunit ribosomal RNA", at positions 927 to 1382 of the family's 1533-position model. The record is from RNAcentral. Lineage: Bacteria; Pseudomonadati; Thermodesulfobacteriota; Desulfuromonadia; Desulfuromonadales; Geopsychrobacteraceae.